CUGAGUUAGCCAGACCAGCACAGACAGAGUUAAUAUAAAAACUGAGCUAAUAGCAAAGCAAUUCUGAAGAGAGCAAUGGCCUUGAGCUGGCUUCAACCCAUGUAGUCCUUUCUGGCAAUUAGGAAGUGUUUGAUGGGAGAAGAGCUCAGAAAAAAAAUGAAAAAAAGGACCACUUCAAAACAUAAAGACUAACAGAGCAACAGAAAGAACACACUUUCUGUGCCUGUUUUGAAAAAAAGAAAAAAAAAAGAUCUGAGGAAGACCAGAACUUGCUGCUUCACUCUGACAACUAUGAUCUGACAACUGGAUGCUUGAUCCAAACACCAAAAAGUGCCUUCAUUACCUACCCCCAUUCCUGUCUUUCCCAUCUUCUAUUACUUUAAACAUAGGAACAGUGCUGGAUCACCUCUGAACUGAAGCUGUGUGCUUAUUACCAGUUUCAUAGCCACAGCUGGGUAACUGCUUUCCAGAAGGAAAUUAAAUCUGCAUGAAAGAAAGGGAAAAAUUAAGCUAGUUUUAAUAAGGUAUGUUUUCUCUAUCUGGAAGUCUUAGAAAAACAGAAAUUGUCAGACCAGAUCACGCUCCAGGUCUGUUCAGCCCAGCAUCCUGUCUCUAACAGCAAGCAGGACAGGCUG
Long non-coding RNA from Zonotrichia leucophrys gambelii, 635 nucleotides. RefSeq lists it as uncharacterized. The record is from RefSeq and is a predicted model, not a curated record. The transcript has 3 exons. Lineage: Eukaryota; Metazoa; Chordata; Aves; Passeriformes; Passerellidae.